This 30-nucleotide non-coding RNA is filed under the name Mus musculus (house mouse). Lineage: Eukaryota; Metazoa; Chordata; Mammalia; Rodentia; Muridae. The record is from RNAcentral.
UGAGAAUCUCCCAUUCCUCUUGAUUGACGC